RNAcentral lists this small RNA (141 nucleotides) under Arabidopsis thaliana (thale cress). Its description in RNAcentral is "ATSL283090". Lineage: Eukaryota; Viridiplantae; Streptophyta; Magnoliopsida; Brassicales; Brassicaceae. The record is from RNAcentral.
UUUUUUUGGAUAAGAUCAUGGUUAAUGUUUUGAACUAUAUCAUAGCAGAAAUAUAUUAGUUUUUAUUGUCUUUUUUUCUUUGCGCGCACUGCCAAGAAGAAAAAUCUAGCCUACACCUCUUCUUCAACUGCCCUUUUGCUG